AAGUCGUAACAAGGUCUCCGUAGGUGAACCUGCGGAGGGAUCAUUAACACGUUUACACAAACGUAUACCAACCAAUACCGUGAGCACUACCUAACCACAACCUCAAGCCAACACGUUGGAUGCUGGGCAAUGGUACUAUUGACUCUACCCUGUGUAGAGGCAGUGGUGCUGCUGCUUGGCUGGUUGCUUGAGUGUUUUUUAUUUUUUUAAACCCUUUUCCAAUUUUACCAUACGGUUUAUAGCUUGUUUGUGUGUGGAGCUCCGCUCUGCCGCAAUUCAUAUAAAUCAAUGUAAAGCACAACUCUUAGCAACGGAUAUCUUGGUUCUC
Molecule: unclassified non-coding RNA, 328 nt
Filed under: fungal sp.
Lineage: Eukaryota; Fungi
Also listed under: 1 other name
Description: partial internal transcribed spacer region
Rfam family: Eukaryotic small subunit ribosomal RNA (bases 1-46)
Source: RNAcentral